RNAcentral lists this small RNA (1359 nucleotides) under Arabidopsis thaliana (thale cress). RNAcentral describes it as "ATSL203940". Lineage: Eukaryota; Viridiplantae; Streptophyta; Magnoliopsida; Brassicales; Brassicaceae. The record is from RNAcentral.
ACACACCUAAAAACAAGACUCAUCAAAUCAUAGAUCCAACUACAGAUACCUAUGACGUGAAUAUCUAUUGUCUGGAUUCAAGAUCUAGUUAAUUACUCUUGAUCUAACAUUAAGCAUAAUUAAAGAUGAAGAAUUCUAUAGAUAACCUAACAAAGGGGGCAAUCUACUAAACCAUAUGAAUCCCUAAUGAGAAACCAUAUUCCUAACAAGCAGACUACUCAGACAUAUUGAAUGAACCAAACAACAUAAUUGAGAUAGAAAGCAUAAACACAGUAAAUAGAGAAGGGGAAAUAAUGGAUCUCUUCACUGUAUUAAGAUCUGAAUAAAACUCUGAAAAGCAAUCAACGAAUGGCUUAUGUCUCUCAGUAAUAGGGUUUGUAGAAAACUUGAUAAAAGAAACUUAGGUCUAAAAACAAUAUAUAUAGACCCUAAAAACGUCCAGCGACUAAUAAUGCAAAUAGGGAUCUGGGGAAAUUUGAUCUUCUGUAAACUUGAAAGCAUCUAGGGUUUUUGCUGGGCCGAAACUGGUGUCAAUCGACACCAAAAGUGUGUCGGUCGACACUCCUCGCUGAUUCUUGAGUCCAAAAUCGUCCUUAGCUUCCUUUUCCUUAGAUCUUGCUCCAAAAUGACUCCUUAUCUCCAUUGUUGUCCCAGUGCAUAGAAUACCUGAAAAGACACUAAAAAGACUCGAGAAAUAACAGAAAUACUCAAAAUCCUAUAUCUAAAACAUAGAUAAAAUCGGUGAAAAUCGAGUUAUAUCAAGUUCGAACUAAUCAAAGUUCCUCGUGCAGAAAUUUCAGCUGCUGAUGCCUUAGCUGCUUUGGCUUCUACAUCCGAAGUAACUGUCACAAGGAUAAUCCCUGUUGAAACGAUAGCUCAGCCCAAUUUUCGACUUGAGGAAAUAAACUUUGUUACUACUCGGGCAAUGCGUAAGCAACUCGAGGCGCAAGCAAACAAUCUCGAGCUGCAGCAACUCGACGACGAGGAAAAAAUUCCAGAAGCUGCCCGGCCUGCAGCUGACGAAGAUUUAGCUGGUCUCAACAAUCCCGAGGUUCCUGACAAUCAGAUACCUCACGACUUAGGGGCAGACUGGAGAGAACCAAUUCGGAACUAUAUCCUCAACGGAGUACUUCCCGCCGAUAAAUGGGAGGCUCGAAAGUUGAAGGCCACUUGUGCGCGUUUUUGCGUAGCGGAUGGCAUUCUGUACAGAAGAGUUAUUUCGGCUCCGGAUGCUAUUUGUAUCUUUGGAGAAUAGACCCGGACAGUUAUAAAAGGAAUCCACGAUAGAACUUGUGGGAAUCAUUCCGGAGGUCGUUCUUUGGCUUUUAAAGUCAAAAAGUACGGUUAUUUCUGGCCCUA